Molecule: ribosomal RNA, 372 nt
Filed under: uncultured organism
Description: bacterial SSU rRNA
Rfam family: Bacterial small subunit ribosomal RNA
Source: RNAcentral
CGUAGGUGGCGAGCGUUGUCCGGAAUUACUGGGUGUAAAGGGCGUGUAGGCGGGACUGUAAGUCAGAUGUGAAAUUCCAGGGCUUAACUCUGGAGCUGCAUCUGAAACUAUAGUUCUUGAGUGCUGGAGAGGAAAGCGGAAUUCCUAGUGUAGCGGUGAAAUGCGUAGAUAUUAGGAGGAACACCAGUGGCGAAGGCGGCUUUCUGGACAGUAACUGACGCUGAGGCGCGAAAGCGUGGGGAGCAAACAGGAUUAGAUACCCUGGUAGUCCACGCUGUAAACGAUGGAUACUAGGUGUAGGAGGUAUCGACCCCUUCUGUGCCGCAGUUAACACAAUAAGUAUCCCACCUGGGGAGUACGGCCGCAAGGUUG